GUGAGGAAUUUUCCGCAAUGGGCGAAAGCCUGACGGAGCAAUGCCGCGUGAAGGAUGAAGGCCUAUGGGUUGUAAACUUCUUUUCUCAGAAAAGAAUUAUGACGGUAUCUGAGGAAUAAGCAUCGGCUAACUCUGUGCCAGCAGCCGCGGUAAGACAGAGGAUGCAAGCGUUAUCCGGAAUGAUUGGGCGUAAAGCGUCUGUAGGUUGUUUAAAAAGUAUUCUGUCAAAGAUUAGGGCUUAACCCUAGAUAGGCAGAAUAAACUUUUAAGCUAGAGUUUGGUAGAGGCAGAGGGAAUUCCCGGUGGAGCGGUGAAAUGCGUAGAUAUCGGGAGGAACACCAAAGGCGAAGGCACUCUGCUGGGCCAAUACUAACACUGAGAGACGAAAGCGAGGGGAGCAAAUUGGAUUAGAAACCCUAGUAGUCC
Molecule: ribosomal RNA, 426 nt
Filed under: uncultured bacterium
Lineage: Bacteria
Description: bacterial SSU rRNA
Rfam family: Bacterial small subunit ribosomal RNA
Source: RNAcentral